RNAcentral lists this long non-coding RNA (675 nucleotides) under Olea europaea (common olive). RNAcentral describes it as "long non-coding RNA (OEUR_LNC004501)". Lineage: Eukaryota; Viridiplantae; Streptophyta; Magnoliopsida; Lamiales; Oleaceae. The record is from RNAcentral.
UAGAUAUUAGAGCAGAGAAUUGUUUUUGAUAACUGUGAUAUAAAAUUGAUGUAUAUAUGUCAUUUUAUAACUAGAUUAAGUUUUUGAUGUUUUAGCAAUCUUAAUGUCUGUUUUUGGUGUUUUAGACAUACAUUAUUAUUACUUCUUAAUCUGGUUAAUGAUAUAUGAUUUAUAUCUUGUCUCUGUUUACUGUUUCCAUUUCACAUACGUUUUCACGUGGUAUUUGAGUUUUGUUUUUCAGAAAACAGGUUCAACAAGAUAUUGCCAAUGUAAUAGAAUAGAUUGGUAGUUUGGUGUCAAUUUGUUUUUAUCCUUGACUGUCAAAUGUGUUUUUGUCACAGAAUGUCAAAGGGGGAGUUUGUUAGGAAUAUAUGUAAUUGGCAAAUCUGUGACCAAGGACCAAAAUGUCAAAAUUGUAAAGUCAAAGAUCAAAUUGUCAAAAUUGUAAGGUCAAGGACCAAAUUGUCAACGUCCAAUAGUUCAGGGACUAGAGUUGCAAUUAACCAAAGUUUGUAGGCUUGGUCUAGGGUUGUGUGGGAUGCCUCGAAGACGCAAACGGCGCGAUGAUUUCGCUAGAGUCACGCCAUGACCUCGCUCGAGCCACAAUUGCAGAAACAACUUCGCUGGACAGACGCUGGACUGUCGCUCAAGCGGAAGACACGUCGCUCGAGGCUC